RNAcentral lists this ribosomal RNA (220 nucleotides) under uncultured bacterium. RNAcentral's name for it is "partial 16S ribosomal RNA". It matches the Rfam family "Bacterial small subunit ribosomal RNA", at positions 57 to 305 of the family's 1533-position model. The record is from RNAcentral.
GCAAGUCGAGCGCGCCCUUCGGGGUGAGUGGCGCACGGGUGCGUAACGCGUGGGAAUAUACCCUUGAGUAAGGAAUAACGUAGAGAAAUUUGCGCUAAUACCUUAUAAUGACUUCGGUCCAAAGAUUUAUCGCUCAAGGAUUAGCCCGCGUUAGAUUAGAUAGUUGGUGAGGUAACGGCUCACCAAGUCGACGAUCUAUAGGGGGUCUGAGAGGAUGAUC